This 994-nucleotide long non-coding RNA is filed under the name Struthio camelus australis. Its description in RNAcentral is "lncRNA (ENSSCUG00000014147.1)". Lineage: Eukaryota; Metazoa; Chordata; Aves; Struthioniformes; Struthionidae. The record is from RNAcentral.
UUCCAGGCAGGGCCUCCAUGGGCCAUUGGCUGUGCCCAAGCCCCGCCUCGCUUCUCAUUGGCAGAGCCGCUCACCUCCUCCGUCUCAUCUGGCCGGGGCGGCCGCACUGCUGGCUGCAGCUCUUCCGCUCUGACCACGGAGGUGCCGGAGGAUGCCCGCUCACCAGCCCUCCAUCGAUAAGAUGAAGGGGCAUUUCUGCUUCUUUUUUUUGUUCUGUGGGAUAUUUUUGCCCAGAAUCCUUGGUUUCCCACAAACAAGUANNNNNNNNNNNNCAUACAUUAUUGCUGUAUCUUUUGAUAGCUUUGAACCAGGAAAUGAAAUCCAAGUGACUUUAGAAGCCCUUAAAGAGGCCAGCUUUAAAGGAUUUCAUCUACAAGCUCGAGAAGUGGAAGGAGAUGUUCCUGUUGGUACUUUUAAAAUUACAGAUCAAAACACAAAAGGCUUGGAUUGUCAUAACGUGACGAAUUCAGCUGUAAGUCAUGCAAAUUCAGAUGCGAAACAGAAAGUUACAACAACGUGGAUUGCACCACAUGAUAUUAGAGAUCUUCAGUUUAUCGCAACUGUUGUUCAAGAUCUAGAGAAAUUUUGGGUCGGAGUUCAAAGCAAAACCCUCACACCUACACAUUCUGAGUCAGUUAAUGGGACAGGAAGAAGUAAGAGGAAGAUUAUGAUAGAAAUAGAAUGUGCCAAGCGUGGAGGGACUUACACACCACAAAGUGGAUGCGUCCUAGUUGGACCCUCCGGUUCCUCUCGGAACAGCUAUACAAGUGGUCAGAGUGGAGUAGUCUACUCAAUAAGCAAGAGCGGAUGUGUCCCAGGAGGGACUGCUGAUGCAUACAGCAGACAUGCCUGCAAAGAUAGUGCAUCCUCAUAUAGACCUGGUCUUACCUAUGGCCAGUCUGUCCCUGCAAGCAGUUCAGAUUCCAGUAAGAAGGUAAGCACUCCUUUUCUUUUUAAUUCAAAGGGAAAAAAAAUCUUACAGAUGUAACUUGGC